RNAcentral lists this ribosomal RNA (429 nucleotides) under Chloroflexota bacterium. RNAcentral's name for it is "Chloroflexi bacterium partial 16S ribosomal RNA". It matches the Rfam family "Bacterial small subunit ribosomal RNA", at positions 355 to 776 of the family's 1533-position model. The record is from RNAcentral. Lineage: Bacteria; Bacillati; Chloroflexota.
UGGGGAAUAUUGCACAAUGGGCGCAAGCCUGAUGCAGCCAUGCCGCGUGUGUGAAGAAGGCCUUCGGGUUGUAAAGUACUUUCAGUCGGGAGGAAGGUGGUAAGGUUAAUAACCUUAUCAAUUGACGUUACCGACAGAAGAAGCACCGGCUAACUCCGUGCCAGCAGCCGCGGUAAUACGGAGGGUGCAAGCGUUAAUCGGAAUUACUGGGCGUAAAGCGCACGCAGGCGGUUGAUUGAGUCAGAUGUGAAAUCCCCGGGCUUAACCCGGGAAUUGCAUCUGAUACUGGUCAGCUAGAGUCUUGUAGAGAGGGGUAGAAUUCCAUGUGUAGCGGUGAAAUGCGUAGAGAUGUGGAGGAAUACCGGUGGCGAAGGCGGCCCCCUGGACAAAGACUGACGCUCAGGUGCGAAAGCGUGGGGAGCAAACAGG